This 457-nucleotide ribosomal RNA is filed under the name Colletotrichum falcatum. Its description in RNAcentral is "eukaryotic LSU rRNA". The stretch from base 159 to 312 matches the Rfam family "5.8S ribosomal RNA". Lineage: Eukaryota; Fungi; Ascomycota; Sordariomycetes; Glomerellales; Glomerellaceae. The record is from RNAcentral.
CCCUUUGUGAACAUACCCAACUGUUGCUUCGGCGGGUCGGGGCGCCCUCCCGGGGGCGCCCCCCAGGCCCGGUCCCGCUCGGGGCCGAGCGCCCGCCGGAGGAUCACCCAACUCUAUUUUAACGACGUUUCUUCUGAGUGGCACAAGCAAAUAAUUAAAACUUUUAACAACGGAUCUCUUGGUUCUGGCAUCGAUGAAGAACGCAGCGAAAUGCGAUAAGUAAUGUGAAUUGCAGAAUUCAGUGAAUCAUCGAAUCUUUGAACGCACAUUGCGCCCGCCAGCAUUCUGGCGGGCAUGCCUGUUCGAGCGUCAUUUCAACCCUCAAGCCUCGCUUGGUGUUGGGGCACUACGGUCGACGUAGGCCCUUAAAGGUAGUGGCGGACCCUCCCGGAGCCUCCUUUGCGUAGUAACUAACGUCUCGCAUCGGGAUCCGGAGGGACUCCUGCGUAAAACCCCC